CAACUUCCUGUUAUAUGGAAAUGAAUCCCGCGCUGUGUAUCGCUUUUCCGAUACACAGAGACUUCACCUGUUAUCAUCUGGCGGACCCUGUAGAGCAGUGUGAGAGACCAGGUGAUUUUCGCCGAUCUGCCGAGGUGAAAUGCUGUAAACCUCAUUCAUACAUUGACUCAGCGGUCAGGUUUUUUGGUGAUACCAUUAAAAGGGGGUCGCUGCCACAUCGCACCGUCCAUUGGAGCACGUCCUGUCGGGCUUGUGUGAGGUUUCAGGUCCCCAGAUCCAGAGACAAUUCUCAGAUUACAGGAAUUCCCAGUGUGAACUGGGUGGCGAGCCGAACCGAACCACUGGUACUGAACCUAGAGGCGCCUGAAGGACUUCCUGA
Epinephelus fuscoguttatus (brown-marbled grouper) is the source of this 379-nucleotide long non-coding RNA. RefSeq lists it as uncharacterized. The transcript is spliced from 3 exons. Lineage: Eukaryota; Metazoa; Chordata; Actinopteri; Perciformes; Serranidae. The record is from RefSeq and is a predicted model, not a curated record.